UCUUGAUCAUGCUUCAUCCAACCGUUUUUUAUGGCUUAUCAAGUGAUUCCAAAGCACCUAACUAAGUUCAUCAACCAUUUACCUGUUGUCAUCCAUCUUGUACGUAUAUAAACAGUACUACAUAUAUAUAAUCAAAUUUAAGUAAUAAAACAAUACUUACAGUGAGUGAAGAGAACUCUUUUUUCAAAAUUGGGUAGAGAAUCGUACUGAUAACGUAUUAUAAAAGAUUAUACUAAAU
Molecule: long non-coding RNA, 238 nt
Filed under: Panax ginseng (ginseng)
Lineage: Eukaryota; Viridiplantae; Streptophyta; Magnoliopsida; Apiales; Araliaceae
Description: long non-coding RNA (PGIN_LNC008065)
Source: RNAcentral